UAUAAAUGGAUUUGUCAUUACAUGCUGUAAUAUUGAGCUGGCUUGUACGUCUGUAAAAGUAUGUGUGCUAUUUUUAACGGAUGUUUAUAACACUUACAUAUUUAUUCACAGGAAAUGGAAAGAACCAAUAAUUGUGCUCCCUCCAGUUAAAUGAGUUUAUUUGUUUUUUCUUUAGAGUUAUAAGUAGCCAUAGAGUAACUGGUUGUUUAUUGAUGCAGGGCAUAAAGCUAGAUCCUAUCUGUUGCUGCUCAUAAGAAUGAGUCGAGUAAUAGUGGAGACAAGUGGUGGUUUGAUUUAUUAUAGAAUCUUAUAGUGUAGAAUGAGCGCAGAGAUAAAAAACAGUAUUGACAUUAGCGUGUUAGCAAUAUUUAGCUGAAGUGUGUGCUUUUAAUGGUUGAUCUUCAAGCACAAAAAUGAAUGUUGGUAUUACGUUGUUCAAAAUUCUCCUUUAUUUUUUAACUGUACUGCACGGGUACUGUGCAUGCACAUUGAUAUUUUAUCAAGUACUUACUAUCUCUUGCCAGCUCAUACAUUACAGUGAAAAUAAGAUUUGACUGAUUUGUCUGGCUAAGCAAUUGCUUUGUUGAAUGUUAAAUUGACUGCAUUUGAAGGAGGUGCAA
Molecule: long non-coding RNA, 620 nt
Filed under: Solanum tuberosum (potato)
Lineage: Eukaryota; Viridiplantae; Streptophyta; Magnoliopsida; Solanales; Solanaceae
Description: long non-coding RNA (STUB_LNC001610)
Source: RNAcentral